UAACUGCGAUAAAUAACAUGAAUUGCAGGUUUCUGUGAAUCGUCGAAACUUCGAACGCACUGCGCCCGGCAGCAAUGUCGGGCACAUUCGGUUGAGUGACAUUUUAAUCUCUGGAUCCACAAAACUCUUUUGCGGAACCGAUUCUGGCGGUUUGCUAACAACAAUCCGUUAAAAUGCGGCGAAGGAUUAUUUCCUCCGUCGGAUGCAGACUUUUUUCCGGCUUGUGAAGAAAAAGGAAUUUCCAGUUUUUUCACAAAACCCGACCGUCCAGUACGGUAAGGUUGUUGCAUCCCGUGAACCAUACCAUAACUUUAAUUUUUGUCCUCAACUCGAGUGAGAUUACCCGCUGAACUUAA
Molecule: unclassified non-coding RNA, 356 nt
Filed under: uncultured fungus
Lineage: Eukaryota; Fungi
Description: sequence contains ITS1
Rfam family: 5.8S ribosomal RNA (bases 1-101)
Source: RNAcentral